Pogoniulus pusillus (Red-fronted tinkerbird) is the source of this 1101-nucleotide long non-coding RNA. RefSeq lists it as uncharacterized. The transcript has 3 exons. Lineage: Eukaryota; Metazoa; Chordata; Aves; Piciformes; Lybiidae. The record is from RefSeq and is a predicted model, not a curated record.
GGUGGUCUUGACCCCUCCCCAGGGGUGGGUCUGAACAACACCAGGUGAUGGUUUGCCCACUCCCCCUUCCUGCCCAGAGACCCAUAAAAGCAGGGGGACUUCCUAUUUUACUCUCUCUGCACUCCCUGCUCUCUGCAUACCAGCAUUGCCAUCCUGUUCCUGCUUUCUGUUUGUUUCACCAUGUGGCCAUCACCAGCAAAAUCAGUCCCUGGAAAUUUAAACUGGAACCGAGACACUUUGUAAGACAGAGGCACCGAUGAAACAGUGAAAACUGCUGCAAGCUGCUGAGAAUGUUCCUGCCCCUGCCCUGCAGCAGCUGGGAAAUGACAAUGAAGCCUCAGUGGCACAGUUUCCCUCCACGUAGCAUUCCUGAGCAAGACAUGUUAAAGCUACGACACAGAGAAGGCACCAACCAAGCACUGUGCUGAAGUGGAACCCAGUGUGAGACCACCCCCAGCACUGGAAAGCAUUCCAGCUGCUGCAGUGGAGCAGCAACAUCUGUGCUGUGCUCAGCCUGGGGGAAGGGUGCAUUUGGAGUUUUAUACUAACUCCUGCAAUCCCAGGCUUGCAUUCCUGUCCUCUCUGUGCUUUUCAAAUGCUACACUUGGUUUGGGGUGCAUUUUUUUCCAUACAAAACCAGACUUUCUGGUCGAUGAGAUUAAGCAAACUGGCACCAAAAAUAAAAAGCUAAUUAAACAACGUGAUUAUAAAUUGUUUAUCCUUAGAGAACAGAUUAAAAAAAAUCAAAAUAAGUUAUGUCAAGAUGCAGUCUGAAUAAUAAUAAAUUGUGGUAGCUCUUGACUGCCAGUAGUCGGCUACCAGCUGAGUCAAGAUGCACCCUCAGCUCCUGCUUGCUGCCUCUGAACAGCAGUUAUGGAUUAAGCCUGACAGUGUGAAAAUAAAUGGGAGAGUGCAGCUGAGGCCAAGCAUUUAUCAAGCCUGGUAGUACUCUAUGCAAGGCAAGUCUGACACAAUUUCAUAAGAGAACAGAAAACUCAACGCUGUCUGCAGGACGUCAAAACACAGAUUUCUGCCCUGUACCAAAUGCUGCUAUUGGUAGCUUGAUGGGUUUGAAGCUAUUUCAGGGUUUGGGUUUAGUGC